GUCUAUGGCCAUGCCACCCUGAACAAGCCUGACCCCGUCUGAUCUUGGAAGCUAAGCAGUGUCGAGCCUGGUUAGUACUUGGAUGGGAGACCACUUAGGAAGAGCAGGUGCUGUAGGAA
Molecule: ribosomal RNA, 119 nt
Filed under: Pteropus alecto (black flying fox)
Lineage: Eukaryota; Metazoa; Chordata; Mammalia; Chiroptera; Pteropodidae
Source: RNAcentral